Molecule: small nuclear RNA, 179 nt
Filed under: Pavo cristatus (Indian peafowl)
Lineage: Eukaryota; Metazoa; Chordata; Aves; Galliformes; Phasianidae
Description: U2 spliceosomal RNA (ENSPSTG00000015572.1)
Rfam family: U2 spliceosomal RNA
About the family: U2 is a small nuclear RNA (snRNA) component of the spliceosome (involved in pre-mRNA splicing). Complementary binding between U2 snRNA (in an area lying towards the 5' end but 3' to hairpin I) and the branchpoint sequence (BPS) of the intron results the bulging out of an unpaired adenosine, on the BPS, which initiates a nucleophilic attack at the intronic 5' splice site, thus starting the first of two transesterification reactions that mediate splicing.
Source: Rfam by way of RNAcentral
AUUCCUUCUCAGCCUUUUGGCUAAGAUCAUGUGUAGCAGCUGUCCUUAUCAGUUUAAUAUCUGAUAAGGACUUUAUAUUAAACGGAUUUGGGGGCACGGGAAUUGGGCCUGGAGCUUGCUCCCUUUGCUUCAUGCAUCAUCCUGGUAUGACAGUACCUCCAGGCAAUUAUUUCCCAGGC